GACGAACGCUGGCGGCGUGCUUAACACAUGCAAGUCGAACGGAAAGGCCCUUCGGGGUACUCGAGUGGCGAACGGGUGAGUAACACGUGGGUGAUCUGCCCUGCACUUUGGGAUAAGCCUGGGAAACUGGGUCUAAUACCGAAUAGGACCACGCGCUUCAUGGUGUGUGGUGGAAAGCUUCUGCGGUGUGGGAUGGGCCCGCGGCCUAUCAGCUUGUUGGUGGGGUAAUGGCCUACCAAGGCGACGACGGGUAGCCGGCCUGAGAGGGUGACCGGCCACACUGGGACUGAGAUACGGCCCAGACUCCUACGGGAGGCAGCAGUGGGGAAUAUUGCACAAUGGGCGCAAGCCUGAUGCAGCGACGCCGCGUGAGGGAUGACGGCCUUCGGGUUGUAAACCUCUUUCACCAGGGACGAAGCGUAAGUGACGGUACCUGGAGAAGAAGCACCGGCCAACUACGUG
This 462-nucleotide ribosomal RNA is filed under the name uncultured bacterium. RNAcentral's name for it is "partial 16S ribosomal RNA". It matches the Rfam family "Bacterial small subunit ribosomal RNA", at positions 28 to 507 of the family's 1533-position model. The record is from RNAcentral.